GGCAGGGGGGAGAGCGGGGAAGCACAGAGAAUGAUUCCGGGUUCCCGCCCUUAAACGGUCACAUAUCGGGUGGAUCCUAACUGAGUCGUUCGCAAGUAACCCAUUGAAGUGACCCCUUGGGGGUUCCGCCGGCAAGUUUUAACUUAAAUGGAAUUGCGGGGGACCCCCCCAGGGGUGGGGCAUGGUGUUUAAUUUGAAGCAACGGGAAGAACCCUUCCACACCUUUACCUGCGCAGAAAUUUCUAAAAGAGGGUUGGUGCCUUCGGGAACUUCGACCCACGGGCUGCAGGGCUGUUAUUAACUAAUGUCGUGAGAUGAUGGGGUAAUUACCCUAACGAGGACCACCCCCGUCCCUAGUUGCCAGCACAUUCAGUUGGGCACUCUAAGGAGACUGCCGGUGACAAACCGGAGGAAGGUGGGGAUGACGUCAAGUCAUCAUGGCCCUUAUGGCUGGGGCUACACACGUGAUACAAUGGUUGGUACAGAGGGUUGCCAAGCCGCGAGGCGGACCUAAUCUCACAAAACCGAUCGUAGUCCGGAUCGCAGUCUGCAACUCGACUGCGUGAAGUCGGAAUCGCUAGUAAUCGCGAAUCAGAAUGUCGCGGUGAAUACGUUCCCGGGCCUUGUACACACCGCCCGUCCCCCCAUGGAGUGGGUCGCGCCCGUUUUGCUAGUCUAACCUUCGGGAGGGCGCUUACCACGGUGUGAUUCAUGACUGGGGGGAAAAUUCUAACCAAAGUGGACCCC
RNAcentral lists this ribosomal RNA (747 nucleotides) under bacterium SS22. Its description in RNAcentral is "bacterial SSU rRNA". It matches the Rfam family "Bacterial small subunit ribosomal RNA", at positions 746 to 1504 of the family's 1533-position model. The record is from RNAcentral. RNAcentral also lists the same sequence under 1 other name.